Molecule: ribosomal RNA, 684 nt
Filed under: Triticum aestivum (bread wheat)
Lineage: Eukaryota; Viridiplantae; Streptophyta; Magnoliopsida; Poales; Poaceae
Description: partial small subunit ribosomal RNA
Source: RNAcentral
AUGAUGGAGAGGGCCGAGGACUUAGGGCUCAGCCUCAGUCUCAGCUCGUCGCUUGCUCCUCGCACCCACCAUGUCGCCAUGCUGCUCCACGCUCCAGAGAGGAGAUUACUGGAGAUGCCACUGCUUCCUGCGAAGCGGGUCUGCGAGGUCUCUGCGGACGAGGAGCGCUCCGGCCAGCGUGGCGGCAGCGACGACGAGGACGGCGGCUGCGGCAUGGAUGGCUCCCGCAAGAAGCUCCGGUUGUCCAAGGACCAGUCCGCCGUGCUCGAGGACAGCUUCCGGGAGCACCCCACUCUGAACCCGAGGCAGAAGGCAGCCUUGGCGCAGCAGCUGGGCCUGCGGUCGCGGCAGGUGGAGGUGUGGUUCCAGAACAGACGCGCAAGGACGAAGCUGAAGCAGACGGAGGUGGACUGCGAGUUCCUGAAGCGAUGCUGCGAGACGCUGACGGAGGAGAACCGGCGGCUGCAGAAGGAGGUGCAGGAGCUCCGCGCGCUCAAGCUCGUCUCCCCGCACCACUACAUGCACAUGUCCCCGCCCACCACCCUCACCAUGUGCCCCUCCUGCGAGCGCGUCUCCAACAACAACAACAACAACAACAACAACUCCACCGCCGCCGACCGCCGCAACGGUGUCGAGGGCGCCAUCUGCCACCGACCCAUCGCCGUCCGGCCGCAGCAGUCAUGA